Molecule: long non-coding RNA, 1665 nt
Filed under: Danio rerio (zebrafish)
Lineage: Eukaryota; Metazoa; Chordata; Actinopteri; Cypriniformes; Danionidae
Description: si:ch211-261i19.3 (ENSDARG00000097441.2)
Rfam family: mir-15 microRNA precursor family (bases 1426-1514)
Source: RNAcentral
GGUUAAUAUAGAUGUUAAUACGGCUUGCCAUACACACGCUCAGUAUAGCUGUAGAAUCUAGAUGCACACGAUUCAUUUUCAUGUUCGUUUUAACAUUUAAUCAGCCGUAGUUUAGUGUCGAAAUGUAUUUAGCUUAUAAAGCAACUAACAUAACCUCGUACAUUUGCCUAAAACUCUUAUUGACGUGCACGCGAUUCUAAUGCUAACGCUCGCUGUUUGAAACACACAGACGGGCAGAGCUACAGUUAAACCGUGCUCUGUUGGCCGUGUAAGGAUAUUGUGCGUGGGUUCUGGUUGCUAGCCGGUUUGAGGGUGCAUUUUGUCUCGACCAAUCCAGCGCUGUGCUCUAGGUCCCGGCAUGCCCAAUGCGGGCAGGGGGAGGCUCCGGCCAAUUUGAAUGAAGACUGGAGCUUUCGGCGCCAUUUUCGAGUGAGCAGCUACAGCAACAACAGCUGCCUGGAGAGGCUCCGUACUGUAGUCCAGUAAUUUGAGCGAGGGAAUGCUUCUCUUUUUUGUUUCCAGGGAACAACGAGAGAUUUUUUUCCUGAAAUCGAGCACAAAAUCGAGGCAGUAGUUUCCUGGUGGAUGAAUGCUGCAGACGCAAAAGACGAUGUCUAAUGACAACAAAUAGUGAAGUGGAGACUGAAGUGAGCUAGCAGGCUAAUGCGGCUAGCAUCUCAAGCCGAGAGGGGCGUCCGAAUGGAGGCGCGCUGUGGAAACGAGAUAUUUUUGUAUUAUUUUUUGAAAAAAUCCUGCAAAAACACGGAUGCCGGGAAAAUUCUAUAAAAAAUCCGGAAAAUUGUCGCAGGCGACGACGUAUGGGUUGAUGUGGGUCGUUUGAUUGAGCGAGGUGGUUUUGUGCAUUUUUUAAACGUUAAGUUUGAGCGGGAUUGGUGAUGUGCGCGAGACGGCCGGCGAGCCCGAGAGCCUAUCAGAGAGCAAUACACCGGGAUGCCACACCGACCAACACUGCCCUAUUCUUUACUAGUUUUUUUGUUACUCUUUUGGUGAAAUAAAAAAGCAACGAUGACCAGACUGCCUUUUCUUAUUUUCUCCGUUUUUUUUCUUGAACUAUAAAUACACACACAGUGCGCUCUCAGAAUGCUCAGUUGCCAACUUUUUUUCGUUUUGUCUUUUUGGACGGAUUAACAAAUAUGACUGCUCAGGCCUUUUAGAUAGAGUCCUGGAAUGCCUGAAGCCCUGCUGAGAGAAAGAGAGAGAGAAAGGAGGAGAGGACGGAGUCACUGGCUCUGUGGUUCUGCCGGUGCUCGGUCAUGUAGCCGAGGCUCUCUAGGUGAUGGUGUAGCAGCACAGAAUGGUUUGUGGUGAUACAGAGAUGCAGGCCAUGAUGUGCUGCAGCAUCAAUUCCUGGGACCUACGCAGUUGAGAGAACGACAAGUGAGAGAGGUUGUGUGUGUGUGCGUGUGUUGUCUUGCUUUAGCAGCAUGUAAAUAUUGGAGUUACUCCUUGGCCAAUGCCUCCAAUAUUGCUCGUGCUGCUGAAGCAAGAAGUCACCAAGCAGCACAUGCACGUCAUCCUUUUUUUAUAUUUAUCACAGCUACCAGGGCCUAGUCGGUGCAGGUAGAGACUGAUUCACUGCUACUUAAAUGGACUCCUUAAUCCAACAUAGGGAAGUCAGGAGGACAACAAACUCAGUGGUCAAAG